Lethenteron reissneri (Far Eastern brook lamprey) is the source of this 3325-nucleotide long non-coding RNA. RefSeq lists it as uncharacterized. The record is from RefSeq and is a predicted model, not a curated record. Lineage: Eukaryota; Metazoa; Chordata; Hyperoartia; Petromyzontiformes; Petromyzontidae.
GCGGCUCCGGAGCCGCAGGUUGCCGACCCCUGGGCUACAUUCAUUUAACUUCUUUCGUAUGGCUGACGUAGAUGCAGAGCAACAACUACAAUUUAAAAUUCAGAUGGUCAAGCCAGACAAACCGCGUCAGGAGUAGUGGAGUGUUAAUCGCUGUGAUAUCUCCUUCGUAUUUGUGGAUCGGGCAUUGCAUCGUUAUAUGUUGUCCGGUCUGUUCUGGAUGACCGCAGUCGCACCCUGGAGAGUUUUACGCAUCUGCCAUGGUUUGUGCAGUGGAUUCGAUUUAGCGUGGACCAUAAGCUUUGUGGAAGAUAAAAUACAGGGAUCUUCUGCAUUGGGUAUUUCACAAGGUGUGUGCUUAUGAGUUAUUUUGAACUCCAGCUCUCCAAGCUUGUGGCUUAAGAUCAGUGAUGAGGGCAAUUUAUCUGGAGCACGGCUGGAGUGACGACUGGGGGUGCUACUGGGAUUGCUUGUUGCAUCAGAGGCUGGUGCAGCCACCUCCAAGCCAGCGAGGGAGGUGGUGAAAAUACGAUGGUGACCAGCAGUGGUCGCCUGGAAACGCUGUGGGCACAGCGGAAGGGGUCAGAGGAACACCACCUGGGCGUACGAGACCAGCCGAAGGGGGGUUUUCCCUCGCCCGAGGGACGGCCCGAUCAUGUGUUUCAAAUGCAGGCUGCCAGGACAUGUGUCCAUUGGGUGCUGCGCUCGACGGGGAGGACCCCCAAUGCCGACGUCGUCUUUCGGAUCGUCACCCCUUCUCUCAACUAAGUCCUCAGGGCCCCAGUGCCUAGGGUCGGCGGAGCAGCCAGCUAUGCCGCCGGGUUCGGCUCAAAUGGGGGAAGUGCAUCCGUCGCCCACUCCGUCUUCUCAGGGCAGACAGCCUCCUCCUUCUCCACCUCGGGAAGGGCCGCGGCCGGUGGGUUACUGUCAACCCGGCGCGGGAUCCGAGGAGGAGGCCUGCCCCACCCUGUCCGGGGGCCCAGCGACGAGGACCUGCUCAAGAACUGUGCGGCUCAAGUGACUCGUUUCAGCACGGGCUACUAUCCCAUUCCGCCUACCUGGUUGCGGGGUUUGCGUGGGUGCGUUCGGUGCCCCAUGCGUGGUGACUGGUUCCCCCCCCCCCCCGUGUAUUUGCUACUGUAUUGUUCUUUGUUGCCGUUGAUAUCGCUGUUGGUUGUUACUUGCGGGGAGGGGUUCGCAGUCUACCACCACCGGGUGGGCACGUUCGACGUGCCAACGGGUAAUUUGUUGUUUUUUCUUCUUCGAGUUUUUUUUAGUUGGUGCUCUCGUCGCGCCUUAUGUUUAUUGGUGCGCUCGCAGUGCCUGGUUAUCGCCCCCUUCUACGUUUUGGUGGGCGACGCCACAAUAGGCAUUUGGCGCUCUUAGAGUGCCGGGCUUUACAGUCCCCACCACCCCCCUUUCACAGCCUGGGCUGGCUGUCCACAAAAUAGAGUUUUUUUCUUAACAAUUCUUUCUCCUCUGCCCUAACUUAUGGAGUUUUUUUGGUGAAUUUUUCUCCUCUAGUUCGGAAGUUUUUUUUCUCCUCUCCCCCUCGAAUUUCCGGAUUUUUAUAAAGGGUGGGGGGGGGGGGUAGUGUAGUGAUGUACACUGUCACUAGAUUGUAGCACCGGGUACUGGAGGGACACGUGACCGGGGGACGAGAAACCUGCCCUCAUGCGAUUGAAACGUCGUAGUUUUUGGUUUUUCUUUCAGCCUAUCAACGUGACUUUACUGAAAGACCCAAAGAAUAUGCAUUCCUGCAGUCACGAAAGCUUUAAGUCAUGAUUAUAUAGGGACUUCACAAAUGGGAACUCAGAGAGAAAGAUUGAACUUUAACAUAUUACAGAAAAUAUUAAAAUUAGUAGCAGAGUUGUAUGCAGAUCGCCUAUAGCAAGAAAAUAAUAUCCAAAUAAUUAAAUAGUUUUUUUUUAGGUGAAGAGUAGGAGUUCACACUUGAAGAAGUAAACUCUGCCAGGAUGCAAUAUAUAAUCAACGAUGUGAGUGAUGAUGGUAAUUAUCAUGAUGAUUAGGAUUACUGUGAGCGCAAGAAUGAUGAUGCUAAUUGGAGGAAUUUUAUGUAGAUCUGUCAUCAUCAUUCAAGGUAUAUCCCCUGCUAGACAAAGGCCUCCCAAAGUCACUGCCGCCUCUCAUGAUCCUGCCAUGUAAGAAUACACCUAGCAACUGCACACAAACUGAUGUCAUCGCUCUAUCUGAACAGUAUACGUUCUCUUGGACACGUUCCAUUCCUUGGCUGCUACUCCAUUAUGAGUCUUGACCAUCAGCCAUCAUCCCUUCGAGUGACGUAUCCGGCCUGAGCCCGCUUGCAUUUAUAAAUACUGCUGCGUGAAUGCCACCAUUGCUCGUUUGAGUAGUGAGGCAUACAGAAGGAAUGUGUUUGUGAAGAAGUUGAACAAAUGACUCAUAUAAUCAUGAAUUAAACAAUUAGGAUGACGAUGUAGAUCACGUUCGUAAUAUAAAGUACUAGAUAUUACCGGGUAGGAACAUAAAAACAAAGAGGUGUUCAGAGCAAAUUGGAAUGAACAAAAUAUAACCAUUAAACCAGGGCGUUGGGAGGAGUGGGGCUCUACGUGGAUAAGACGAAUUUCUCUGUGCUGAUACCCAGUCGGGAAACUGCUCUCGGCUUGCCUGGGGAAAAUAUUUUUACUUUAAAUGUUAAAGUACUUGUCUGUUUCUCAGAUAUUUCAACAAAAUGUAAUUGAUGCAGAGCAAUGCAUGUGUAAAUAACUUCUGUAUUAUAAAUGUAUGUUUCCAUUAUCAUAAUUACUGUUGAUGGCUUAAACAAAACAAAAAAAAUCAAGGAGUCCAUCACUAACCAAAUUAAUUUACACACCCUCUUCAAAUCAAUUCCGAUGAUAGUGUAAUACUGAAGCUUACAAACAAAACUUUUAAGUCUUAUAAUCUAUUUUCACAAAAAGGGAUGUUUUGGAUUUGAAUUACAAGUUUACUUUGCCUUGUUCAUCAUAGCUGGGGUCAUGGCCAUUUGUUUAAAUGAGGAAACAUUCCAUAAGAGAAUGGGUCAGUGGGUAGCAUCAUGUCAUAUCAUGUGAACAUUCCCAUGAUGAAGGCGUCACCAGUGUUACUGAUACGACCACACCGAGCACUCCUCUUCCUUCCUUCUGCUAGAUCUGGAAAAUGUUGCAGUCAGAACCCCACCUCAAAAAUCUGCUCUUACAGUAUCCCACAAUUUGGCUUCGAGUAUAGCCUCUUGCCAGAUUUGAGUAAGACAACAUUCUGAAACGUCGAAUAGUAUUUGUCCCACGAGGUGGGGUGUAUUUUACAAAAAUAAAUAUUUGCAUUUAUCAGUGAA